Molecule: non-coding RNA, 81 nt
Organism: Perkinsus marinus ATCC 50983
Lineage: Eukaryota; Perkinsozoa; Perkinsida; Perkinsidae
Source: Rfam
GACAGUUUGGCCGAGUGGUCUAAGGCGCUGGCUUUAAAUCGCCAGUCCGAAAGGGCGUGGGUUCUAACCCCACAGCUGUUA